AACACAUGCAAGUCGAACGGACAAUUGUUUAUAUCUUUGGUAUAAAUAAUUGUUAGUGGCAGACGGGUGAGUAAUGCGUAGGAAUCUACCUAGUAGUAUGGAAUAGCCAUUAGAAAUGAUGGGUAAUACUGUAUAAUCCCUGCGGGGGAAAGAUUUAUCGCUAUUAGAUGAGCCUACGUUAGAUUAGCUAGUUGGUAAGGUAAUGGCUUACCAAGGCUAUGAUCUAUAGCUGGUCUGAGAGGACGAUCAGCCACACUGGAACUGAGAUACGGUCCAGACUCCUACGGGAGGCAGCAGUGGGGAAUAUUGGACAAUGGGCGAAAGCCUGAUCCAGCUAUGCCGCGUGAGUGAAGAAGGCCUUCGGGUUGUAAAGCUCUUUCAAUAGGGAAGAUAAUGAC
RNAcentral lists this ribosomal RNA (398 nucleotides) under Ehrlichia sp. RNAcentral's name for it is "bacterial SSU rRNA". It matches the Rfam family "Bacterial small subunit ribosomal RNA", at positions 50 to 455 of the family's 1533-position model. Lineage: Bacteria; Pseudomonadati; Pseudomonadota; Alphaproteobacteria; Rickettsiales; Anaplasmataceae. The record is from RNAcentral.